GGGACAAGAUAAAUAAUUUAUUACUUUAUAUAUUAGUCACACUAGAAAUUUCUAAAAAUAUACGGUGAAUUUCUUACACAAUAUCGAAAUCUGCAAUAGCAAGAUUCAACUCCUCGCGAAAUAUGUUGUCAAUGUUACAAGUGCUAUCUUUAGUAUACCACCUUGCUGGAUCAACAAGAGAGUAAAUCGGGUCAUGACGUGUGGUGUUGUAUUCGUUCUCAUAUUCUACCCUUUUCUUUUUCAUCUUUUUCCUCUUUCCAACCCUUCUUUGUCGCCGGUUUGAGCCCUCGCAUGGCCACUGGAGGUAUUAUAAAUCGAUCGCGUCUCCAAGGUCCCGUAAAAUUAAUCAUAGUGCACGCAUCGAAACAGCGAAUCCUGAUGAGUACAGUUAGUUGAAUUCGCAAAGCGAUACCCGAAAACUACGAUUAUUUAAAAAAAAAAGAAUGGGGUCAUAGUUGUUUGGGGUCUAACGACAUGCUUAGAAGUUUCUUAUGUCAAAUAGACCUUGAUUCCUACCAAAUGAAGAGACAGAUCUUCGUCCACUGACAUCCAGAGAUGAUUUUCUACCCAUCUUUGUAAUAGUACAUGUUACUUAAUAAAGAAAAAGAAGACGCUGGAAAGAUUACUGCAGUUCCUCUGUUGAUGUUCUCCCAAGUUCUAGCACUCCCUCUUGUCUCAUUUUGCUACCUGGCUUGCGUUUCACAAAGUUUGUGCGGAAAUGUUUGAAUAGAAGUAAUUGCAUCGAGUUCAUAAACGAAAAUUUAAAAGGGCAACGUAAAUUGUGAAUAUAUAGAAAAGCUGUUUUACAUACUCUUUUACUUUGGGGAUUUAUAGUCUGUCUG
This 842-nucleotide long non-coding RNA is filed under the name Nicotiana benthamiana. Its description in RNAcentral is "long non-coding RNA (NBEN_LNC033941)". The record is from RNAcentral. Lineage: Eukaryota; Viridiplantae; Streptophyta; Magnoliopsida; Solanales; Solanaceae.